RNAcentral lists this ribosomal RNA (1184 nucleotides) under uncultured bacterium. Its description in RNAcentral is "bacterial SSU rRNA". It matches the Rfam family "Bacterial small subunit ribosomal RNA", at positions 37 to 1167 of the family's 1533-position model. The record is from RNAcentral.
GGGCGUGGGGCGGCUACACAUGCAGUCGAGCGAGAAAGGCCUUCGGGCUGAGUACAGCGGCGGACGGGUGAGUAACGCGUAGGAAUCUACCUGGUAGUGGGGGACAACAUGGGGAAACUCAUGCUAAUACCGCAUACGCCCUAUGGGGGAAAGCGGGGGACCUUCGGGCCUCGCGCUAUCAGAUGAGCCUGCGUAGGAUUAGCUUGUUGGUGAGGUAAAGGCUCACCAAGGCGACGAUCCUUAGCUGGUCUGAGAGGAUGAUCAGCCACACUGGGACUGAGACACGGCCCAGACUCCUACGGGAGGCAGCAGUGGGGAAUAUUGCGCAAUGGGCGAAAGCCUGACGCAGCCAUGCCGCGUGUGUGAAGAAGGCCUUCGGGUUGUAAAGCACUUUCAAUUGGGAAGAAAGGUUGCGUGUUAAUAGCACGUAGCUGUGACGUUACCUUUAGAAGAAGCACCGGCUAACUCCGUGCCAGCAGCCGCGGUAAUACGGAGGGUGCGAGCGUUAAUCGGAAUUACUGGGCGUAAAGCGCGCGUAGGCGGUUUGUUAAGUCGGAUGUGAAAGCCCCGGGCUCAACCUGGGAAUUGCAUUCGAUACUGGCCGACUAGAGUACGAGAGAGGGAGGUAGAAUUCCACGUGUAGCGGUGAAAUGCGUAGAUAUGUGGAGGAAUACCGGUGGCGAAGGCGGCCUCCUGGCUCGAUACUGACGCUGAGGCGCGAAAGCGUGGGUAGCAAACAGGAUUAGAUACCCUGGUAGUCCACGCUGUAAACGAUGAGUGCUAGGCGGUGGAGGAUUUGACCCCUUCGCUGUCGCAGCUAACGCGCUAAGCACUCCGCCUGGGGAGUACGGUCGCAAGACUAAAACUCAAAGGAAUUGACGGGGGCCCGCACAAGCGGUGGAGCAUGUGGUUUAUUCGACGCACGCGCAGAACUUUACCUGGUUAAUCCACUAGACUACUCGAACGGUGGGUGCCCUUCGGGAUAGUGAGAGUGCUGCAUGCUGUCGUCAGCUCGUGUCGUGAGAUGUGGUAGUUCCGCACGAGCGCACCCUGGUGUCAGUGGCAUCAUAGUUGGGCACUCUGGCCGACUGCGCAAACCGAGAGUGGAUGACUCAGUCGCAUGGCUAUGUCAGCUCAACGAUCCAAUGCUGAUCAAGCCGGAACCUGGGAGUAGCCUAUUUUCA